CCGAUUUCUCCUGUGUGGACCAUGCAGGGACCCCAGGAAAGAGCAGACACCAGGGAAGUGACAAGAGGCCGAGGAGAAGGCAGUCGGAGGCAGCUCUGCCAUGAACAGUAGCAUCCAUCCUCCUGGCUACAUGCCCAGAAGGCCCGAGAUGGACUGAAGAAUCCCUCAGGUUUCUAGUGAUGGAUGUUAAGUGAACUGGUGGUGUUAUUGUGCAGUCUGUGUGCAUCGAGUCCCUGUGCUGACUUCUUAAACUUACACGGCGCCCACUCAGCUCUGCUUCAGCUGCUGGAGUAGCGAAUAGCCGUGCAGAGGCCUUUCCGGCUGUCCCCCGCCUCAGAGAGAACUCACUCCUCCUGGUACUAGCGCUCCUCUCCACAGUCUGACUUGGUGAAGAGCAGGAGGAGGGGACACGAGUUUCACAAUUCUUCACUCAGCGACUGUGCACCGAGCACGCACCCUGUGCCAGGUGCUCAGAUGUCUGUGCAGAUGUCCCUGUGUGCCUGAACUAAGGAAUAGAAUUUCUCGAGGGGGUAUCCCCCUGUGGCGAUGUCCAGCAGGCCCUGAUGCCUCCUGGCCCGUCUGCC
RNAcentral lists this long non-coding RNA (584 nucleotides) under Equus caballus (horse). RNAcentral describes it as "lncRNA (ENSECAG00000060366.1)". Lineage: Eukaryota; Metazoa; Chordata; Mammalia; Perissodactyla; Equidae. The record is from RNAcentral.